CCUACGGGUGGCAGCAGUGAGGAAUAUUGGUCAAUGGGCGCGAGCCUGAACCAGCCAAGUCGCGUGAGGGAUGACGGCCCUACGGGUUGUAAACCUCUUUUGCCGGGGAGCAACGGGCGCCACGUGUGGCGCCACUGAGAGUACCCGGAGAAAACGCAUCGGCUAACUCCGUGCCAGCAGCCGCGGUAAUACGGAGGAGGCGAUCGUUAUCCGGAUUUAUUGGGUUUAAAGGGUGCGUAGGCGGUUCGUUAAGUCAGUGGUCAAAUUGAGGGUCUCAACCCCUUUCCGCCAUUGAAACUGGCGCUCUUGAGUGGAAGAGAAGUAUGCGGAAUGCGUGGUGUAGCGGUGAAAUGCAUAGAUAUCACGCAGAACCCCGAUUGCGAAGGCAGCCUGCCAAGCCAUGACUGACGCUGAUGCACGAAAGCGUGGGGAUCAAACAGGAUUAGAUACCCUUGUAGUC
This 460-nucleotide ribosomal RNA is filed under the name uncultured bacterium. RNAcentral's name for it is "partial 16S ribosomal RNA". It matches the Rfam family "Bacterial small subunit ribosomal RNA", at positions 338 to 795 of the family's 1533-position model. The record is from RNAcentral.